RNAcentral lists this ribosomal RNA (328 nucleotides) under uncultured eukaryote. RNAcentral describes it as "partial 18S ribosomal RNA". It matches the Rfam family "Eukaryotic small subunit ribosomal RNA", at positions 1470 to 1796 of the family's 1831-position model. The record is from RNAcentral.
CCCUUAGAUGUCCUGGGCCGCACGCGCGUUACACUGAUGCAUUCAACGAGCUUAUAACCUUGGCCGAGAGGCCUGGGCAAUCUUGUUAACGUGCAUCGUGAUAGGGAUAGAUUAUUGAAAUUAUUAAUCUUGAACGAGGAAUUCCUAGUAAACGCAGAUCAUCAAUCUGCAUUGAUUACGUCCCUGCCCUUUGUACACACCGCCCGUCGCACCUACCGAUUGGAUGGUCCGGUGAAGCCUCGGGAUUGUGGUUCUUGCCGCUUUAUUGUGGCGUGACCGCGAGAACUUGUCUAAACCUUAUCAUCUAGAGGAAGGUGAAGUCAUAACA